Astatotilapia calliptera (eastern happy) is the source of this 1766-nucleotide long non-coding RNA. The record is from Ensembl. NCBI's taxonomy places the organism in Eukaryota, Metazoa, Chordata, Actinopteri, Cichliformes, Cichlidae.
CCGUGACAGAUCAUUAGAGAGCACUGAUGGCUGUAUCUUCACGCGGCAUCUAAAAAUACUCUAAAAACUCGAGUACUCGAGUAGGAGAAAUUAGUUCAACUGCUGUCACCGUGACUGAGCACUCUCGCAUUUUCAUACUCUAACAGAAGUCUUUUCUUUUUGAUGUGAGGUCUAUAAUCAGGGUCACGGUCAGGUGACUCCUCUCCGUCACUGCUUGAGGAAUCAGUGGAGUAAAGAGCGUUCACAUCGAAGGAAGAGUCUUCCUCCUCUUGCUUCCUCCUUUCCUCGCCGUCGCUGCCUUGCUCCACGGGCUCUUCCGGCCCGGCUGAGGCUUUCCUUCGGGUCGAUAGGUGACACUGCUCAGAGCUCAGCCUGGUAAGACUCACGUAGGGUUGUAGCAGCUUGGAGUGCAGCAGCACACCCUGACUGGGCAGCGAUAGCCUCAGCUGAGCUCUGAGGCCUCGGCUGGUUUUGUCCCUGCCUGCGGCAGAGGAGGAGCGUGAGGAGCGCCGGGCGGUUCCUGAUCGAGGUCUGCUGUUCUUUUGUGGCUGACGAUGGCGAAGAGAGCUCCGAGGGACGACUUUUUUAGAUGACUUGGAAGAUGGUGUGAUUUGAUUGGCAGCACAGGCGGAGAACAAACUCUCUGACUGAGCACCUUUCUGAGGAGGUCCAGAGACACUGAUGUCACUGGCUGUGGCUGGAACACCCAUCUGAGAGGUGUGAUGGUGUGGAGAACUUAGCAUCUCCGAACUGGAAGAAGCUGCCAGAAGAAGCUGCUUUGGUGAUGCUUGCUGGUGUUUACAGCUCGUCCCGAAGGAGCCGAUGUUCACCAGUCGGACCACCGGUGACAGCAGAGCAGGCAGCGGAGAGCCCCGAGCAGACGAGGCCUGAGGCAGAAUUUGUGCUUGUGAGGUGUCGCCUGAGGAUCCGAGUGACCCGGAGCUGCGCCUGUAUUUGGGUUUUGCUGUUCUGGAUGCUUGGACUGCUGCCCGAGGAGGGCUGGGGGUCUGCGAAGGUGGCUGAUCGGACGGACAGGGGAUGAGGUCAGAUGGUGUGAGGUCCUGCGAUGAAGAAGUAGAAGACGACGACGGGAAGAGCAGGGGAGAUGAGGAAACGUUCGGCUGAAGGAGAAGCUCCUCCGAGCAUCCCCGCAGGAUGCUCUUCACCCAUCGCUGGUGUUUGGAGCAGAACUGAGGGGUGGGGGCCGCCUCCUGAACACUUGUGCUGUUUCCCUGACUGCCCUCUUCCUCCGCUCUCUUGUUCACCUCAUCUUCCUCCUCUGGUUGCUGAUGUCCUCUAACGUCUGAGCUCCUGUCCGAAAAACUGAAGCUGUCUUCGGACACGUCGCGAGGAGCCUCCUCUGGAUGAACAUCUGGAUUAGUUUGGCUUAAAGCCGACUUAAAGAGUUGAGGCGACCGAGAUAUCGACGACUGACGACAGGAAGCAGCAUCUAAAGAAAGAAAACAGCGACACGCUUGAUACUGAUAACAGUGGAUAUUCAUAAUUUCACACAAAGAUCUAAUCCUGCUUGUGUCCUAACAGUAAAAAUAUACAGUUUAAAAGGAGAAAAUUACAUAAAUAAAAAGAAACAGCAGAAAUGGUAAAAGCCACGACUCAAAGCUAAAGAAAUCUACCCUAAAAUAAAAUAAAAUAUAAAGUUAUUAUCUUUUUAUGAUGUAAACUUGAGGUGAACUUUUCGUGUUGAGCUGUUUCUUACCGCAGUGCAGCAGCUUCUUCAGGGUCGCAGCUAUGGUGGUGGAGUCAGA